CUUCCCUACGGGACGCAGCAGUGGGGAAUAUUGGACAAUGGGGGGAACCCUGAUCCAGCGACGCCGCGUGAGUGAAGAAGUAUUUCGGUAUGUAAAGCUCUAUCAGCAGGGAAGAAAGAAAUGACGGUACCUGACUAAGAAGCCCCGGCUAACUACGUGCCGGCAGCCGCGGUAAUACGUAGGGGGCAAGCGUUAUCCGGAUUUACUGGGUGUAAAGGGAGCGUAGACGGCGAUGCAAGUCUGAAGUGAAAGGCGGGGGCCCACCCUCCGGACUGCUUUGGA
RNAcentral lists this ribosomal RNA (282 nucleotides) under uncultured bacterium. Its description in RNAcentral is "partial 16S ribosomal RNA". It matches the Rfam family "Bacterial small subunit ribosomal RNA", at positions 334 to 630 of the family's 1533-position model. The record is from RNAcentral.